RNAcentral lists this long non-coding RNA (429 nucleotides) under Lathyrus oleraceus (garden pea). RNAcentral describes it as "Pisum sativum (pea) long non-coding RNA (PSAT_LNC016099)". The record is from RNAcentral. Lineage: Eukaryota; Viridiplantae; Streptophyta; Magnoliopsida; Fabales; Fabaceae.
UAAAGGGGGUCUAUGUUUGACAUAUAUUCAAAAUAAUAAAAAUAAAAGGGUUAAAAAAUAAAUCAAAAAUGAAAGUAAAAUAGGAAAAUAAAUGACUAAAAAUAAAAGCAACUAAAAAAGAAAUAAGGAUUUGCACACGCUAGGGGUUGAACCCUUGACCCUGGGGUCAUGGAGGGAUCAACCCCCUCUCCCACUGGGCCAGUGGCUCGGUGGUGUUAACAAAACACGUCGAAGCAAUAAAAUAUUGAAACAACGGUUAAAAAGAACUCGCGCGCUAGCCAACCAAUCAGAGUGGGAAAUAAUUUAUUUUUAAACUCAAAUUUUCAUGCGAGGUAAUGACUCGGUGUCAUCUUCAACCUCCAAACUUCAAAAAUCUAACUCCAUAAAUCAAUGUUUUUGAUAAGAUUUUCUCAUGGAAUCUUAUUGCAG